GUUGCCAAGUUUCCUCGACCACAUCCCGCUGUAAUGUGGGGCAUCAUCCAUCAUCAUCAUCAAAAAAAUCCAUCCAUCGACGCCAUCCCAAGAGAAGAGAAGAGCAUCCAAGAAAGCGAGGCGAGGCUGACUUUCCUUUCUCUUUGUUCUUCGUUCACGAACGCAUCCGCUAACUCCUGUCGAAGAAGCUGACAUAGAAUAGAAGUUUUCAAUUUCUUCUCCAUCGCAAAAAAAAAAAAAAAAAAAAAAAAAAAAAAGAGGAAGAAACUAGAAACGAAUUGAAGAACAGCUUGCAGAGAAUUCCACGAGCGGAGAGAAGAAAGAGAGAUGCCGGAGCCUAGCAAAGAGCCAUGUAAGAAGCAAGCUUGUGAUAUUCAAGCUUGCCUUGCCAAGAGCAAUUUCAAUCCACAAAGGUAUUUGUAAAUCUUGUUUUACUCUGAGACGAGUCCAUCCUCCCAGUCCGCAUCUCCAUUAGAAUUUGGGUGUUGAUAAUGGACCAAUUGAUUUGAGAUUGUCAAGGUACUCUUGAAAUGUUGCUUCGCAUCAAAAGCAAGAAAACAAAUUGCUACUGUCGGUUAGAAAGACUUGAAUUUAGACAGAUUUACUCGAAAGUGAUGAGAAUUGAUACACAGUGAAAAUGAUGACAAUGGAUACCUUUGUGGAAGUUGAGUUGGUUAGACACCUACAGUCUUCAGAAGUGGGCCCCUGACAGGUUUAUUCAUAGUAAAAAUGAUGAGAAUGGAUACCUGUGUGGAAGUUGUGGUGGUUAAGACUCUUGCAGAUGGCUUCAGAAGUGUCUGCUGACUGUUAUUGUGCCGGAAGAUGAGUACAAAAUUGCAGUUGACUGUUGAAUAUGUAAUAGAGGAACAGUUUUAUAGGCAACAGAGGCGGAUAAUUUUGGUACUCUUUAGUUUCAGCGUUCUUUAACCGAAAGAAAUAUCAGCGGCUUAAAUGAUGUGGCAUCUCAUCAUUGCGGAUGUGAUAAAAAUUGUAUGACAUGUUUUCAGGUUUUUACUCUGAUUAGGAUGUGAAUCAUGCCACUUUCAGUUCUACAUUGUUUGUAAACCUCUUCCUGAAGUCAUACACAUUUACCCAGAAAUGACACCUUGUCCAUGUAAAUUGUGUAAAAA
This is a non-coding RNA of Coffea arabica (coffee), 1130 nucleotides long. NCBI's taxonomy places the organism in Eukaryota, Viridiplantae, Streptophyta, Magnoliopsida, Gentianales, Rubiaceae. The record is from RefSeq and is a predicted model, not a curated record.